AUGAAGAAGAAGCUUCUCGCUGGGUACAUUUGGUUACAGUUUUUAUGAAUGAAGCUUCGUUGGCUGUUAAAAAAAAUAACAUUCAACCAUUUAAUUUAUUGUAACUAUUUUUUUUAGAGUUAAAUAUGAUUUUAGUCCAUGUGGUUUGGGUCAUUUUGUAAGUUUAGUUCAAAUGUUUCAUUUUUCGUCUGUGAGUCUAAAAAGAUUUCACCGUUGUCAUUUUAGUCCACUGGGUUAACUUUAUCCAUUAUUUCUGUUAACGAGAAGGGCAAUUCGAAGACAAUUUUUAAACUCCAGUUAUAUAAAAUUAAAGAUAAAGAUCUUAGAAACGAUUCAUUAUAAAAAAUCUUA
RNAcentral lists this long non-coding RNA (351 nucleotides) under Helianthus annuus (common sunflower). RNAcentral's name for it is "sRNA HanXRQr2_Chr03g0137401". Lineage: Eukaryota; Viridiplantae; Streptophyta; Magnoliopsida; Asterales; Asteraceae. The record is from RNAcentral.